GGCUCCUUCAGUUGACUGACUGAUCAAAGGCCAUCUUGUUUUAAAGCUGAUUAAAGGCUCUUUCAGAUGACUGCCUGAUCAAAAGCCAUCUUGUUUUAAAGUCGAUUAAAGACUUUUUUUUGUUGACUUACCGAUCAAAGGCCAUCAUGUUUGUCAUCGGAGUGGAUGGACUGAGGGUCCUUAUAGGUUACCCCUUGUUUAUUGUCGGACUGAGGGUUCUUGUAGGUUACCCCUCAUUUUUCGCAUGACUAAGCUCUUCGCAGACAUUUACUUGGUGAAAAGCGAGUAUGGCCUUUGGGAGUUUUUAUAGAUUAGCCUCUGCUUCUUAGUCACCAAGAUCUUGAGUUACAGAUCUACACACAAAAGAUGAGAGAGCUCGCCAGACCAGCUCUAGCUGGAUCUUUCGAUUUUUCAGUUAAAUCGAGCUUUGGAGUAAAAUAACAGGUGAUUAGAUUGGUAUUAUCCUAUUUUAGCUAGUUUGCUUCUCUUUGGCUUUUUUAGAUCAGCUCUGGGCUUCAUCGAGUUUUUACUUCGACUUUGAUCCUUCCUCUCAGCUGUUGGUCUUUCGCUUGAUAGCCCGAUUUUGGUUUGUUUGGAUUGGUUCUAUGAUGA
Molecule: long non-coding RNA, 612 nt
Filed under: Elaeis guineensis (African oil palm)
Lineage: Eukaryota; Viridiplantae; Streptophyta; Magnoliopsida; Arecales; Arecaceae
Description: long non-coding RNA (EGUI_LNC042810)
Source: RNAcentral